RNAcentral lists this ribosomal RNA (111 nucleotides) under Acanthosepion pharaonis. Lineage: Eukaryota; Metazoa; Mollusca; Cephalopoda; Sepiida; Sepiidae. The record is from RNAcentral.
UAUGGCCACAUCAUAUUGAAACACCAGUUCCUGUAUGAUCACCAAAAUCAAGCAAAAGCGAGCCUGGUUAAUACCUAGAUGGGUAACCACUUGGAAAUACCAGGUGUUGUA